AUUGAACGCUGGCGGCAGGCCUAACACAUGCAAGUCGAACGAGUGGCGGACGGGUGAGUAAUGUCUGGGAAACUGCCUGAUGGAGGGGGAUAACUACUGGAAACGGUAGCUAAUACCGCAUAACAUCAGUUGUGCCCAGAUGGGAUUAGCUAGUGGGUGGGGUAACGGCUCACCAAGGCGACGUUCCCUAGCUGGUCUGAGAGGAUGACCAGCAAAGCUGGAGCUGAUAAACGGUCCAGACACCUACGGAAGGCAGCAGUGGGGGAUAUUGCACAAGGGGGGGAAGCCUGAUGCAGCCAUGCCGCGGGUAUGAAGAAGGCCUUCGGGUUGUAAAGUACUUUCAGCGGGGAGGCGUUACCCGCAGAAGAAGCACCGGCUAACUCCGUGCCAGCAGCCGCGGUAAUUC
This 406-nucleotide ribosomal RNA is filed under the name uncultured bacterium. RNAcentral's name for it is "partial 16S ribosomal RNA". It matches the Rfam family "Bacterial small subunit ribosomal RNA", at positions 30 to 526 of the family's 1533-position model. The record is from RNAcentral.